CCUACGGGUGGCAGCAGUGAGGAAUUUUGGUCAAUGGACGCAAGUCUGAACCAGCCAUGCCGCGUGCAGGAAGACGGCUCUAUGAGUUGUAAACUGCUUUUGUACGAGGGUAAACGCAGAUACGCGUAUCUGUCUGAAAGUAUCGUACGAAUAAGGAUCGGCUAACUCCGUGCCAGCAGCCGCGGUAAUACGGAGGAUUCAAGCUUUAUCCGGAUUUAUUGGGUUUAAAGGGUGCGUAGGCGGUCGGAUAAGUUGGAGGUGAAACCCCGAGGCUCAACUUCGGAACUGCCGCUGAUACUGUUCGGCUAGAGAGUAGGUGCGGUAGGCGGAAUGUAUGGUGUAGCAGUGAAAUGCUUAGAGAUCAUACAGAACACCGAUGGCGAAGGCGGCUUACCAAGCUACUUCUGACGUUGAGGCACGAAGGCGUGGGGAGCGAACGGGAUUAGAUACCCGAGUAGUC
RNAcentral lists this ribosomal RNA (460 nucleotides) under uncultured bacterium. Its description in RNAcentral is "partial 16S ribosomal RNA". It matches the Rfam family "Bacterial small subunit ribosomal RNA", at positions 338 to 795 of the family's 1533-position model. The record is from RNAcentral.